RNAcentral lists this ribosomal RNA (253 nucleotides) under uncultured bacterium. RNAcentral's name for it is "partial 16S ribosomal RNA". It matches the Rfam family "Bacterial small subunit ribosomal RNA", at positions 524 to 776 of the family's 1533-position model. The record is from RNAcentral.
UACGUAGGGUGCAAGCGUUAAUCGGAAUUACUGGGCGUAAAGCGUGCGCAGGCGGUUAUGCAAGACAGAGGUGAAAUCCCCGGGCUUAACCUGGGAACCGCAUUUGUGACUGCAUAGCUGGAGUACUGCAGAGGGGGAUGGAAUUCCGCGUGUAGCAGUGAAAUGCGUAGAUAUGCGGAGGAACACCGAUGGCGAAGGCAGUCCCCUGGGCCUGUACUGACGCUCAUGCACGAAAGCGUGGGGAGCAAACAGG